GCAAGGAUACGUAGCUCAGUUGGUAGAGCAUGAGACUCUUAAUCUCAAAAGGCUUCUUGCAUUGAACAGAGUUGGACUAGAUGAUCCUUGGGUUCACUUCCAAUGCU
Non-coding RNA from Podarcis lilfordi (Lilford's wall lizard), 107 nucleotides. Lineage: Eukaryota; Metazoa; Chordata; Lepidosauria; Squamata; Lacertidae. The record is from the annotation of a GenBank genome assembly.